GGAGUUGUGCCUGAAAUAAAGGGCCACUUUGAUAGAGUGAAACAUGGGGGUUAAAUUCCCCCCAACUCCU
Molecule: transfer RNA, 70 nt
Filed under: Bostockia porosa
Lineage: Eukaryota; Metazoa; Chordata; Actinopteri; Centrarchiformes; Percichthyidae
Description: tRNA-Ile
Rfam family: tRNA
About the family: Transfer RNA (tRNA) molecules are approximately 80 nucleotides in length.
Source: RNAcentral